GUUGGUGAACCAGCGGAGGGAUCAUUACAAGAAGCCGAAAGGCUACUUCAAACCAUCGCGAACUCGUCCAAGUUGCUUCGGCGGCGCGGCUCCCCUAACCGGGCGCCGCAGCCCCGCCUCCUCGGAGGCGUGGCACCCGCCGGAGGUACUAAACCCUUCUGUAUUAUAGCGGCAUCUCUGAGUAAAACAAACAAGUUAAAACUUUCAACAACGGAUCUCUUGGCUCUG
Molecule: unclassified non-coding RNA, 228 nt
Filed under: rhizosphere metagenome
Description: partial ribosomal RNA internal transcribed spacer region
Source: RNAcentral